UACAGAGGGUGCAAGCGUUAAUCGGAAUUACUGGGCGUAAAGCGCACGUAGGUGGCUGGGUAAGUUGGAUGUGAAAUCCCCGGGCUUAACUUGGGAAUUGCAUUCAAGACUGCCUUGCUAGAGUGUGGAAGAGGGAAGCGGAAUUCCAGGUGUAGCGGUGAAAUGCGUAGAUAUGCGGAGGAACACCGAUGGCGAAGGCAAUCCCCUGGGCCUGCACUGACGCUCAUGCACGAAAGCGUGGGGAGCAAACAGG
RNAcentral lists this ribosomal RNA (253 nucleotides) under uncultured bacterium. Its description in RNAcentral is "partial 16S ribosomal RNA". It matches the Rfam family "Bacterial small subunit ribosomal RNA", at positions 524 to 776 of the family's 1533-position model. The record is from RNAcentral.